AACAGGAUGGCGGAGGGAACAGCACGCCGGGCCGCGGGAGCCGAGGUGCGGCGACGCGGGAGAGGGAAGAGGCGCAUGUUACCCUAUUUCCGGAAGCUGGUGUUUUGGGGGAUGAAGGCACGAGCCCCGGUGUGGCAAUGACGCCUAUCUAAUAAGCUGGCAGCCUACUCCUGACUGGCAAACAUAGGGGGACCAUAACUACACUAUACUGCAACGCAAAACAAAACAAGGUGGGGAGGUAGAGAGGUGGGGGUGAAGAGAAAAGGAAAGCAAGACUACAAGCAUCAAGUUAUCUUCACUACAUUUUAACAGGCUCUAACCGGAAGUUAUUUGGGUUUUCAAGCGUUCUCAUGAUUCUAGCAAUGGUUUAAACAAGAAUUCUGCAUCAGCAACUGGAGAGAGAGAAAAAAAAGAAAAAAACACCAGGCUUUAGUGGAAGUAGCGGCCCUCAUUAGUUGAUGUCUUGUGGUCACAGAAGCUGCACGUCGUCGUGCUCCCCACCCACAUUUACACCUAGACCUAGCGAGAAUGGGUCUGGCGGUGUCCACUGUGGAUCGAGUGAAGAUGGUGGAGGCGGCGUGUCGCGGCGCCACGACGCUCCCAGCGCUGGAGUGGUGUCUCAAGACUGCCAUGAAGUCCGCAUUGCGAUUCCUGUGUGCAGUGCUGCUGGUGGUGGUGGUGACUGCAGACCUGGCGACAUUCAUCUAUGGGUAUCACUAUGGCAUCCUGGAGAACGAUGACCCCUGGCUUGGUGCUCAACUGUUGUGUGGAGGCGGGUUGCUCCUCUCUCAGUUUUGCUCAUCCCCAUUCUUGCCUACUUCUUCUCUAUGAGUACCCGGAGACUUUCCCAGUACUGGUUCGCGGUGCACAUCACUUGGGGCGACAACUGGGCGCAUCAUACCGUGGUCCUCCUCUACACCCUUCAAGUUCAACCGGUAUUGGACAUCCUUGAGCUGAAUGUCGUCGUCGCAGACCUGAAGACUGCGGACUUUUGGUGGUGGUUCGCCCAAGGAUUCUUCCUGGUUGUCUUGGUCCGUACUCUUGUGGGUUAUGACGCCGAGGAUGACUUAUACGAGGAAGAGUCUGAGGAAAUGCCAAAUAUGGUGAGUCACUGUCGCCCUCUCGUAGAAACAGAAGGCAGCCUAGCAUUGGUGGCCCCGUCGGUCACCAAUGCCGCAGCGCCGGCAGUUGUCCCCGCUACGCAGGACUCCACGACCAUCGAGGAGAUCAGCUCAACCCUUGGUGGCACUACCGCUUAAAAACGUCCAAGACUUAGCUUGUUAUAUAUAUAUA
This is an RNA transcript of Scylla paramamosain (green mud crab), 1293 nucleotides long. RefSeq lists it as uncharacterized. The record is from RefSeq and is a predicted model, not a curated record. The transcript is spliced from 6 exons. Lineage: Eukaryota; Metazoa; Arthropoda; Malacostraca; Decapoda; Portunidae.